RNAcentral lists this transfer RNA (77 nucleotides) under Pseudorhodoplanes sp. Its description in RNAcentral is "tRNA-Arg". It matches the Rfam family "tRNA". Rfam says of the family: Transfer RNA (tRNA) molecules are approximately 80 nucleotides in length. Their secondary structure includes four short double-helical elements and three loops (D, anti-codon, and T loops). Further hydrogen bonds mediate the characteristic L-shaped molecular structure. tRNAs have two regions of fundamental functional importance: the anti-codon, which is responsible for specific mRNA codon recognition, and the 3' end, to which the tRNAs corresponding amino acid is attached (by aminoacyl-tRNA synthetases). tRNAs cope with the degeneracy of the genetic code in two manners: having more than one tRNA (with a specific anti-codon) for a particular amino acid; and 'wobble' base-pairing, i.e. permitting non-standard base-pairing at the 3rd anti-codon position. The record is from RNAcentral. Lineage: Bacteria; Pseudomonadati; Pseudomonadota; Alphaproteobacteria; Hyphomicrobiales.
GCGCCCGUAGCUCAGCUGGAUAGAGCGUUGCCCUCCGAAGGCAGAGGUCGCAGGUUCGAAUCCUGCCGGGUGCGCCA